This 253-nucleotide ribosomal RNA is filed under the name uncultured bacterium. RNAcentral's name for it is "partial 16S ribosomal RNA". It matches the Rfam family "Bacterial small subunit ribosomal RNA", at positions 524 to 776 of the family's 1533-position model. The record is from RNAcentral.
UACAGAGGGGGCAAGCGUUGUUCGGAAUUACUGGGCGUAAAGGGCGCGUAGGCGGCCUUCUAAGUCGAACGUGAAAUCCCCGGGCUCAACCCGGGAACUGCGUCCGAUACUGGAAGGCUUGAAUCCGGGAGAGGGAUGUAGAAUUCCAGGUGUAGCGGUGAAAUGCGUAGAUAUCUGGAGGAAUACCGGUGGCGAAGGCGGCAUCCUGGACCGACAUUGACGCUGAGGCGCGAAAGCUAGGGUAGCAAACGGG